This 699-nucleotide ribosomal RNA is filed under the name uncultured bacterium. RNAcentral's name for it is "bacterial SSU rRNA". It matches the Rfam family "Bacterial small subunit ribosomal RNA", at positions 78 to 789 of the family's 1533-position model. The record is from RNAcentral.
CUUCGGUCCGGGGGAAAGUGGCGCACGGGUGAGUAACGCGUGGGAAUCUACCCAGCAGUACGGAAUAACUCCGGGAAACCUGGAUUAAUACCCAAUACCCUGCCUGCACCUCAUGGUGCGUUCAGGAAACGCUCCGGUGCUCCGGGAGGGUCUCGCGGCCUAUCAGCUUGUUGGUGAGGUAACGGCUCACCAAGGCAUCGACGGGUAGCUGGUCUGAGAGGACGAUCAGCCACACUGGGACUGAGACACGGCCCAGACUCCUACGGGAGGCAGCAGGUGGGAAUAUUGCGCAAUGGGCGAAAGCCUGACGCAGCGACGCCGCGUGGGGGAAGAAGGCCUUCGGGUCGUAAACCCCUUUCAGCAGGGACGAAAUUGACGGUACCUGCAGAAGAAGCGCCGGCCAACUACGUGCCAGCAGCCGCGGUAAUACGUAGGGCGCAAGCGUUGUCCGGAUUCAUUGGGCGUAAAGGGCUCGUAGGCGGUUUGGUAAGUCGGGUGUGAAAAACUCAGGGCUCAACUCUGAGACGCCACUCGAAUACUGCCAUGACUAGAGUCCGGUAGGGGAGUGUAGAAUUCCUGGUGUAGCGGUGAAAUGCGCAGAUAUCAAGGAGGAAUACCGAUAGCGAAAGGCAGCACUCUGGGCCGGUACUGACGCUCAAGGAGCGAAAGCGUGGGUAGCAAACAGGAUUAGAUACCCUG